GGUUCACAUUGCUUCCCCUUUCUCAUGAGGACAGCCAACCAUUAACCCUUCCAUUGGAGCAUCUCCAGCCUGUGUCUACAACAGAGAUCAGCUGCUUCCCACCCUCACCCCCAACCUGUCCAGACUUGCAGGAGGCCCAGCAUCCAGCCAGGAUGAGCUAGGCAUUCCCACUGCAGCUGGUCCUUUAUCCCAACAGUAGCAUGACCACUUAGAAGCCGUAAAGAGAAUGGCAGAGAGAACCAGGCUGGGCCCCAUGCACAUCUCGAGAGCAACAAGCACCACUCAGUGGGCACUAUGAAAUGUCUCUACCUCAGAGGGCUGAGUUGCCCCUCGGCCUCCUCCUGCUGCUCCCUGCCCCGAGUGGAGUGCUGCUAGUCACUUCUUUGGGGAAGAGCAGCUGCUCGGCCCUCUUGGCACAGCCACAUGGAGAAGCCUGGGCAGCGGCUGGGAGUGUCCGGCCACCACCAGUUAUUUUGUGAUUCUUUUGUGUUCCCAGUUCCACGUUCUGCGUCUUCAUGGCAGAUGUCCACACUGUUUGGCCCUGAGCCGGACUGCCCCGCUGUCCAGCGCUGAGCAUUAGUCACACUGUGCUGUGCAAAAAUGCUGCCCCGGGAUCUCCCUGGACUCGUCUGCUUGCGAGGGGCGGGCCGGCAUUCAUGUGCGCUGUGUUCACAACUUUUAUGAGGAUAACUGGUUUUCAUUUUUCAGUCAAAUGUAACACACCUCAAGGUUGGAACUGUUUAACAUGUACACAAAACAGCACCCAGCAGAGGGCUGCCUAGACACAGAGCAGGCGCUCGGCUGUUCUCCAGAGCUAGUGACGUUCCGCCCUAUUGCCGUGUUGUUUAGAGUGACUUGUCUUUAUGCUGUGAAUGUGCUAUACACCAGAACGUAAGCUCUCCAACGACAGACUCCUGCCUCGCUCACUGCUCUGUCCCUUGAACCAAGGGCAGGUUCUACUCCGAGAAGCUGCUCAGUAAAUAUCUGUUAGAUUAACACUAUUUUGAAUAUUCUUGGUAAGUUUUGUACAUAUAUGAUAAGCUGCCUAAUUGUGAA
Molecule: long non-coding RNA, 1056 nt
Organism: Bos taurus (domestic cattle)
Lineage: Eukaryota; Metazoa; Chordata; Mammalia; Artiodactyla; Bovidae
Source: Ensembl